UGCGCAGGCGGCCCGGAAAGUUGGGUGUGAAAUCCCUCGGCUCAACCGAGGAAUUGCGCCCAAAACUUCCGGGCUAGAGUGAGGCAGAGGUGAGCGGAACUUGCGGUGGAGCGGUGAGAUGCGUUGAUAUCGCAAGGAACACCAGUAGCGAAAGCGGCUCACUGGGCCUUUUCUGACGCUCAUGCACGAAAGCUGGGGAGCGAACG
Molecule: ribosomal RNA, 206 nt
Filed under: uncultured bacterium
Lineage: Bacteria
Description: partial 16S ribosomal RNA
Rfam family: Bacterial small subunit ribosomal RNA
Source: RNAcentral